UACGUAGGGUGCGAGCGUUAAUCGGAAUUACUGGGCGUAAAGCGUGCGCAGGCGGUUGUGUAAGACAGGUGUGAAAUCCCCGGGCUUAACCUGGGAACUGCGCUUGUGACUGCACAGCUAGAGUAUGGCAGAGGGGGGUGGAAUUCCACGUGUAGCAGUGAAAUGCGUAGAGAUGUGGAGGAACACCGAUGGCGAAGGCAGCCCCCUGGGCCAAUACUGACGCUCAUGCACGAAAGCGUGGGGAG
This 245-nucleotide ribosomal RNA is filed under the name uncultured Methyloversatilis sp. Its description in RNAcentral is "partial 16S ribosomal RNA". It matches the Rfam family "Bacterial small subunit ribosomal RNA", at positions 524 to 768 of the family's 1533-position model. Lineage: Bacteria; Pseudomonadati; Pseudomonadota; Betaproteobacteria; Nitrosomonadales; Sterolibacteriaceae. The record is from RNAcentral.